This 288-nucleotide long non-coding RNA is filed under the name Brassica napus (rape). RNAcentral describes it as "long non-coding RNA (BNAP_LNC024059)". The record is from RNAcentral. Lineage: Eukaryota; Viridiplantae; Streptophyta; Magnoliopsida; Brassicales; Brassicaceae.
CAAGCUGCUGCACCCCAAUUCAAAAGCGAUCUCCACGAGUUCACAAAACAAAUAUAUCUCCAAAAUAGUCAAUAUACUCGUACACACAACAACACAUGCCAACCAAUGGCUCAUACCACACACCACAUAAUCUCCAGUAACAAAACUCGUGGAACGAUUGCUUGAAGUGGGCUGGUGGCAGAAACGUCACAUAUCCACUCCUGGAUAGCCUCGAAAUCAUGACCGAAGAAACUGAUAACUCCCGAGAAAACUGACGAACUUGGACUUCACGCAACUGCUGAACAUCUG